This 2547-nucleotide long non-coding RNA is filed under the name Pavo cristatus (Indian peafowl). Its description in RNAcentral is "lncRNA (ENSPSTG00000009744.1)". Lineage: Eukaryota; Metazoa; Chordata; Aves; Galliformes; Phasianidae. The record is from RNAcentral.
CUGGGAAUGGUGUUUCUAUGAAACAUAUUUUCAUAUUCGUUUGUAACAAUGGGGAGGCAUGGAGNAAGAGGGGAAAAGGGUGACCCAGGAAAAGAAGGAAAAGUGGGUUUACCUGGGCCAGCUGGUGUGCCAGGGCCUCCUGGACAGCCGGGUUCGCCUGGCAAAGGUAAAGAUGGAGAACAGGGGGAAAGAGGCCCACCGGGCUUGCCGGGACCUUUUGGACAUAAGGGUGAGAGGGGAGCUCCUGGCCUCCCUGGACAGUCAGGAGACAGAGGUGUGCCAGGAGUUGGACUGGCUGGACCACCUGGCCCUGUUGGACCCCCAGGAGACAAAGGAUCAUUGGGUCCUCGUGGUAUACCUGGUAUCCCUGGACCACAGGGGCCUCCUGGCCAGGAUGUAAGUAAAACAAAAGUGUAAGUGCUUACAAAAUUUGCUGAUGCUUAAGUCUAAUUUCCCUAAAAAUUGUGUGCAUACUCAGCCUUGGUUGUUGAGUGUUACUAGGAUAGUCCAAUGGAAAUGAUUUGCAAAAAUUGAGCUCUUAUAUUUCAGGAUUUCAGGGAAAAAGACAUUUAGGCUACGGAGUAACUUUUCAAGGAAAGCGAUGGACAGCUUAUGUGGCAGCAUACACUGGGGAAUGAUCCUACAGUAGAAAAGGAUGAUAGUUAAGCUCUCUAGGAAAUUCUUAGAAGCCUCUAAGACAAGUAACCUGUAAUAUUUCUAUAAAAAUAAGGCCACCCCCACUAAAAAGCUUUUUAUGAGUUCAUUUUGCUGCUGCUGCUGUGCUUGAGAGAUGACACUUUAACCUCUUUUCUGUGCGUUUUCCUCACUCAACUCUCUGCAGUUGAGUCAUGGAGCUAAGAGAUAGAGGGAAGCAUGGCAGACUCCUGGCUUGAUAGCUGAGCCCUCUCACUGCCCAGUUGUGUCACAGUGUUGAAUCAGAAAGGGAAGAGUUUUUUCUCUGCUGGUACACUCUGCUCUGUGACAUGGAAACCUGCCUUGGAGGAAACUCAGCAAGGGAGCUGUGAAGAUUUUGAGAGAUGUAAUCUUUGCAUUUGUGCCUGUUGGAGGAAUGCUGUGGGAAAGGGACAGUAACUCUCCUCCUCAUCAUGCUUUCUUAUGCUGUCUUAUCUAAAAUGGGUACCAAUUUUCAUGAAGUACAUGCAAGCAUGUUAUCCCUCAUGCAUCAUUAUUGACAUACACCAGUUAUCAUAAAGGGUGCACUUUUCUAUAAGAUAGAUCUCCUUUCCUCCUGAAACAUUUGGAAAAGAAGGUCUUGGUUUUUUGCUCAACUGCUCCGUCAUAAGACAAAUGAUUGUGACAGUGGCAUUCCUCAAAAGCCUAUUGUGGCAGAAAUGGUCUAUCACUUUGUGUCCCUGAGCAACCAUAGCAAAUGUUUGAGUUCUUUAACCAAGAGGUUUUAAACUAGAAAUACAGAGCUUUUAUACAGGAAAUAAAACAGAUGAGCUUAUUGCAGCUGCAUAUGAGGAGAGUGCAGAGCCAGCUUUUCUAAGUCUCUUUCUGGCUCUGCUCAGAUCAAUGUUGACUGGUCAGCUCUUGGAGAGGCAGCACUGCAGUCUUUCUAUCUCUCCCAGCAGGAAAUUACCCAAGCAAAACCAUUGCUUAUGGUACUUAGAAAGCACAUCUUCUAUUACACAAACUGACUUAAUUGCAGUCAGCAUCCCUUUUAAGAACUGUGUUUUCUGGUUGUUCACCUAUUAAGCAAUUCUGCCUGUGUUUCAAGAUGUGUAAAUGUAACUACAGAGCACAUUCCAACAUUUCUUGGUAUAACAGCAGGGAUACUUUGUUUGACAAGAUCCUGCACUUCUAGUUUCUUGAUCUCCACUUUCAUUUAUGAGUAAUACAAAGGAUUUCUGGUUCUGCUUUUUGCACAUUUCUGUAUCAGUGUAGCAUUCCUGUGUUCUUUGAAGCUUGCCCAUUUCUGUAUUCUCUUGUGUUUAUACAGUAUGUCAUCAGUUAGAAAUGCUCUGAUUUGAAUUGCUGAUAGGAGUUUGCCACAUAAUUCCCAAGCUAUUCAGUGGCAACAGCCUUAAUGUCUUGCCUCAAUGCCUUGUCUUUUGCUGUGGCCCCUGCAAAUGUAUUUCAUGUUGGUUUGUUUUUUUUUUCCCUGAGACUGAGUAAUUCUUCUAAAUCACAUUUGCAUACAGCAGUCUAUUCUCUGCCUUGUUUUUCCAGCUGCAGACUCAUCAGAUGACCUUGGAAAUGUGUCUGUUAUAGGUUGUUAUAUUCCCUGAUACUGCAAUAUCAUAUUUAGAGUUGUAUUUCGGGAGGUGAAAGAAUAAAUACUUCCUUUGCAGUAGCUUUGACCAGAAUUAUCUCCCAGAGGAAUACAUUGUUUUUCUGCAUGACUGCAUCCUGGAAGGAGUGGCUGACACACCAUUAGGCUGUGCUGCCGUUCAGUGAUCCUCACAGACUGGAGAGUUCAAUGUGGAACUUCUAGGGAGAGUCCAGCAGAGGGCCACAAAGAUGAGAGACCUGGAGCAUCUCUCUUAUGAGNUGUGCUAAUUAUUACUGAUAACUACAUUCCAA